This 497-nucleotide ribosomal RNA is filed under the name uncultured bacterium. Its description in RNAcentral is "partial 16S ribosomal RNA". It matches the Rfam family "Bacterial small subunit ribosomal RNA", at positions 28 to 507 of the family's 1533-position model. The record is from RNAcentral.
GAUGAACGCUGGCGGCGUGCCUAAUACAUGCAAGUCGAGCGAACAGACGAGGAGCUUGCUCCUCUGACGUUAGCGGCGGACGGGUGAGUAACACGUGGAUAACCUACCUAUAAGACUGGGAUAACUUCGGGAAACCGGAGCUAAUACCGGAUAAUAUAUUGAACCGCAUGGUUCAAUAGUGAAAGACGGUUUUGCUGUCACUUAUAGAUGGAUCCGCGCCGCAUUAGCUAGUUGGUAAGGUAACGGCUUACCAAGGCAACGAUGCGUAGCCGACCUGAGAGGGUGAUCGGCCACACUGGAACUGAGACACGGUCCAGACUCCUACGGGAGGCAGCAGUAGGGAAUCUUCCGCAAUGGGCGAAAGUCUGACGGAGCAACGCCGCGUCAGUGAUGAAGGUCUUCGGAUCGUAAAACUCUGUUAUUAGGGAAGAACAAAUGUGUAAGUAACUAUGCACGUCUUGACGGUACCUAAUCAGAAAGCCACGGCUAACUACGUG